UAGAGGUAGAACAACCACUGGAACUGUUAUUGCAUGUCUAGUGAAGCUCCGCAUCAAUUAUGGAAGACCUAUUAAGGUUCUGUAUGAUGUUCUGACCCAUGAAAUCGUGGAUGAAGAUUCAUCAAGUGGUGGUGAAGAAACUGGAAGCAAUACCGCUGAAACAAGACCUCUUAUUUCAGAAAGAAGAACCGAGGACCAGCAGGGCCGUACAUUUGGAAUGGAUGACAUCCUCCUGCUGUGGAAAAUCACUAGGUUAUUCGAUAACGGAGUUGAAUCUCGUGAGGCGUUAGAUGCUGUGAUUGAUAGAUGUUCUGCUUUGCAAAACAUUCGUGAAGCUGUUCUGCAGUACAGGAAAGUUUUUAACCAACAACAUGUUGAGCCAAGAGUAAGAAGUGCUGCUUUGAAACGUGGCGCUGAAUAUCUGGAGAGAUACUUCCGGUUGAUUGCCUUUGCAGCAUAUCUUGGAAGUGAAACUCUAGACGACUUCUUUGUGAAAGGAGGGUCUAAGGUGACUUUCAAGAAUUGGCUGCAUCAGAGACCUGAGGUGCAAGCGAUGAAGUGGGUGUGUGUGUUGGAUGAGAGAGAUGGCGUCUAUACCGAAAGAGCCAGAGCAGGUGAUGAAGCUUAGAGACGGAUCUGUACUCGGCAAGAAGACGAUUCUCAAGAGCGAUCAUUUCCCAGGCUGUCAGAACAAGCGUAUGACUCCCCAGAUCGAUGGCGCUCCCAAUUACCGUCAGGUCUCUCCUCGAUUUUGAUUCUCUUCGUUGCUAUUGAUUAGGGCUAGCUCUCUGUGUACCAAAUCGAAAUCGGAUCAGUGAAGAUGCGUUUGGGCUACUUAGGGAUCAGAAACGAAUAGGCAUUUCUCUCUUUGAUUCUAGGUCGAAUCGAUGUUUGAUGUACACCACUCGCUGUAUUGUUGAUUGGAUGUUGUGGACUAUGUUGUAACAGGCUGAGUCACUACGAGUUCACGGGGUUGCAAUCCCAACGGCUGUUGGGAUACGGAAUGUUCUUAGGCACAUUGGAGCUCAUAAGGAUGGUAAACAAGUUCAAGUUCUUUGGAUUAGUCUUAGGGAGGAACCGGUAUGUAUCCUUUCUAUAAAGCCUCUGCAUAUGUCACUUAUCGUUGCUUCUUAUUAACUUGUUAUUUUACUCUACAUUUGUCAGGUAGUAUACAUAAAUGGGCGACCGUUUGUUUUGCGUGAUGUGGAGAAGCCUUUCACCAAUCUUGAGUACACGGUACAAAGCCUUACCCUGCUAAUUUGUUUUCACUUGAUCUUUAAUUUGUAUCAUGUCAAUCCGCUAGUUUGAUGGCUUGAAGCAUUUUAUCUCCACUGAGCAAAUCAGAAAUGACAAUGUAUCCGUGGUUCCUUUCAUUUCUGACCUUAAGUUCAUCUUUCUGUUCAGGGAAUCAACAGGGUAAGGGUAGAGCAAAUGGAAGCACGGUUGAAAGAAGAUAUUCUCAUGGAGGCUUCUAGGUAUAUGUUUACCUGUAUCCUCUGAGUCUUACAACGGUGUAACUUUUUUUCUUUCUGCUUUGCGGUGUAUUUGACUAUUUUCCUGGCAGAUAUGGGAAUAAGAUACUGGUCACUGAUGAACUGCCGGAUGGUCAGAUGGUGGACCAGUGGGAGCCAGUCUCAACUGAUUCCUUAAAGACGCUGCUUGAGGUAGGACUUUGGAAUGAAGAAUCUAUGUGUUUGACACAGAGCAUUUAUCCUUUUAUGUGGUUUCCAUGUCAUUGUUUUUUGCUUGUACGCUUCUCUGGACCCAGGUUUACGAAGAACUGCAAGCUGAAGGCUACCUUGUUGAUUAUGAGCGUGUUCCUGUAACGGAUGAAAAGUCACCUAAAGAAACAGAUUUUGAUGCGUUGGUAAGUCUUAUGCUUACGAAAUUAGUGAGAACGUUUUUGUGGGUAACUUUGGCGAAACGCAAAGCUAGGAUAGUUUGUUUUCAUUCCUUUCCUAAAGUCAAAAUGUUCAGUGAUCUCAUCUCUUUCCGUUUAGUAUUCGCUAGGUGCAUAACAUAAUACGUCCCUGUCAACUAGUAUACUAAUUUACAUGUGUUUUUGCAGAUUAAGAAGAUAUCUCAAGCGGACAUUAAUACGGAGAUAAUUUUUAAUUGUCAAAUGGGACGUGGACGUACAACGACGGGAAUGGUUAUUGCAACUCUCGUCUAUUUCAAGCGUACUGGAGCAUCAGGUACUUCAUCCUCAUGUGAAGAGAGGUUCUAACGGAUGCUCUUUCUAACAAAUUAUAUUUGUAUUUAAAACAGAAAGAACCUAAUUUGGAGAACAUUAUUUUGAAUUGUCUACUGUACCUUUUGGAAUGUCGUAGUGCUUUAUAGUUUAGAAAGAAAUGAAAUGGUAUGGACUAGCCAAAUAAUCACAUGCAUAUAUGUAUUUCCAGGAGCCACGUUUUCUGGAACAAAAUAUACUCCAAAGAGUCAUGACAGAUUGGUGUUUAAGUCGGUACAUUAUGGUAGAAGUUUGCACUAACCUGCCUUUUUUUUUGCUAUAUCUCUUUGAAUAAAGAUCAUGGAUUCCCAAGAAACAACUCUUUUGGGAGAAUCUUUAAAGCUGGUGAAAACAUUACUAUAAAUCUGCCAAAUUCUGAGGAGGCAAUUCGUAGAGGGGAAUAUGCAGUUGUUAGAAGUUUGAUACGAGUCCUAGAGGUAUUUAGUCCCUUUGUGCUUGUCUUUAUUUGAUCUUGUUGCUGGUCCGGCUGGUUCUAAUCAUUAACUUGUUUCAUGAUUCCACAGGGUGGUGUAGAAGGCAAAAGGCAAGUUGAUAAAGUCAUCGACAAAUGUGCAUCCAUGCAGGUCUUUUUUGUCAAUUUUAAUACUAAAGUAUACGAUCUAAUAAUAUAUAAACCGUGUAGUGUUUUGUCUUAUGGGUUUUCACUUAAGGUAAAAGAUCUAAAUAUUAUCGUUGAAUCAACUUACAGAACUUACGAGAGGCGAUUGCAACCUAUCGGAGUAGUAUUUUGCGUCAACCUGAUGAAAAAAAGAGAGAGGCAGCACUCUCAUUCUUUGUUGAGUACUUGGAAAGAUACUACUUCCUUAUAUGUUUUGCUGUGUACCUUCAUUCAGAGGGUGGUUACCUUCAAUCUGGUUCGCUUGGUCAUGUCAGUUUUUCUGAUUGGAUGCGAGCUAGGCCAGAGCUCUAUAGCAUUCUUCGCAGGUACUGGACAGGCGUCUUUUUUUUUCCCUUUGAAUUUGAAUGCUAAAAAUUAGACUGCAUAUGGUAUUCAGCCGUCUCAUGUAAGUUCAUAUUCCUCUUUAGGUUGCUCAGGAGAGAUCCUAUGGGUGCCCUUGGAUAUGCGGCUAUGAAGCCUUCUUUGACAAAGAUUGCAGAAUCUACUGAUGGGCGCCCUCAUGAGAUGAGUGUCGUUGCUGCACUUAGAAGUGGGGAAGUACUGGGAAGUCAGACUGUUCUAAAGAGUGAUCAUAGUCCCGGUUGUCAAAUUCUAAGUCUACCAGAGAGGGUGGAAGGAGCACCAAAUUUUAGAGAGGUUCCAGGAUUUCCUGUAUAUGGUGUAGCGAACCCAACUAUAGAUGGUAUUCGAUCUGUCAUUGAAAGGGUUGGGAGUUCAAGAGGUGGCCGGCCUGUCUUUUGGCACAACAUGAGAGAAGAACCUGUUAUAUACAUCAACGGGAAACCGUUUGUGCUACGUGAAGUUGAAAGGCCAUAUAAGAACAUGCUAGAAUAUACGGUAAAUAAUCUGUAUGUUUUUAGUAUAUUAGCCGAUACUAAUGAAUUGGUCAAAAAGCUGACAUAAGUACCUUUGUUUAGGGGAUUGAUCGCGAUAGAGUCGAAGGAAUGGAGGCUCGUUUGAAAGAGGAUAUUCUGAGAGAAGCUAGGCGGUAUGAUGGUGCGAUAAUGGUUAUUCAUGAAACCAAGGAUGGACAGAUUUUUGACUUAUGGGAACAUGUGGAUGCUGAUUCUGUUCAAACACCCCUCGAGGUGUACAAAAGUUUAGAGGCCGAUGGCUUUCCUAUUAAGUACGCCCGUGUGCCUAUUACCGAUGGUAAAGCGCCUAAAAGCUCUGACUUUGACACAUUGACGUCCAAUAUCGCUUGUGCUUCCAAAGACACUGCUUUUGUCUUCAAUUGCCAGGUUGAGAUUCACAAUCUGCUUUGGUAUUUGAUAUAUUAAGUAUUCUUGAGUUUUGCUGUUCGACUUACAAAGGGAAUUCCUUUUUUUCAUUCACAGAUGGGUAGAGGUAGAACAACCACUGGAACUGUUAUUGCAUGUCUAGUGAAGCUCCGCAUCAAUUAUGGAAGACCUAUUAAGGUUCUGUAUGAUGUUCUGACCCAUGAAAUCGUGGAUGAAGAUUCAUCAAGUGGUGGUGAAGAAACUGGAAGCAAUACCGCUGAAACAAGACCUCUUAUUUCAGAAAGAAGAACCGAGGACCAGCAGGGCCGUACAUUUGGAAUGGAUGACAUCCUCCUGCUGUGGAAAAUCACUAGGUUAUUCGAUAACGGAGUUGAAUCUCGUGAGGCGUUAGAUGCUGUGAUUGAUAGAUGUUCUG
This 4526-nucleotide long non-coding RNA is filed under the name Brassica napus (rape). RNAcentral's name for it is "long non-coding RNA (BNAP_LNC022058)". The record is from RNAcentral. Lineage: Eukaryota; Viridiplantae; Streptophyta; Magnoliopsida; Brassicales; Brassicaceae.